UUUUUCUUCUUCACCUCCACUCCUUGAUGGAAGUCCACUCGUUGUUGACUUUGUCAGUGCUACAGAAUUCCAAGUGAGGUACUGAAAGUGUUAAUAGCGGUUUCUCCUGAGAAAAUCAACAGCUGCUGAGGUGAGCUGGGCAACUGCUUAGAUGAGUUGGAUGUGAUCCUGUCCCGUUCCUUAAUGACAGCUCACUUGUAUUCA
Sinocyclocheilus grahami is the source of this 204-nucleotide long non-coding RNA. RefSeq lists it as uncharacterized. The record is from RefSeq and is a predicted model, not a curated record. The transcript has 3 exons. Lineage: Eukaryota; Metazoa; Chordata; Actinopteri; Cypriniformes; Cyprinidae.